GACGAACGCUGGCGGCAUGCCUAAUACAUGCAAGUUGAACGAUGAUAUUCUCUGCUUGCAGAGACUUGAAGAGUAGCGAACGGGUGAGUAACACGUGGGGAACCUGCCCAUGAGAGGGGGAUAACAUUCGGAAACGGAUGCUAAUACCGCAUAAUGCUUUGGACCGCCUGGUCCAGAGACGAAAGACGGCUUUUGCUGUCACUCAUGGAUGGCCCCGCGCCGUAUUAGCUAGUUGGUGAGGUAAUGGCUCACCAAAGCUGUGAUACGUAGCCGACCUGAGAGGGUGAUCGGCCACACUGGGACUGAGACACGGCCCAGACUCCUACGGGAGGCAGCAGUAGGGAAUCUUCCACAUUGGGCGAAAGCCUGAUGGAGCAAUGCCGCGUGAAUGAAGAAGGUCUUCGGAUCGUAAAGUUCUGUUAUUAGAGAAGAACAAGUCAAGGAGUAACUGUCUUGACUUUGACGGUACCUAACCAGAAAGUCACGGCUAACUACGUG
Molecule: ribosomal RNA, 498 nt
Filed under: uncultured bacterium
Lineage: Bacteria
Description: partial 16S ribosomal RNA
Rfam family: Bacterial small subunit ribosomal RNA
Source: RNAcentral